Manis pentadactyla (Chinese pangolin) is the source of this 5239-nucleotide long non-coding RNA. RefSeq lists it as uncharacterized. The record is from RefSeq and is a predicted model, not a curated record. The transcript has 4 exons. Lineage: Eukaryota; Metazoa; Chordata; Mammalia; Pholidota; Manidae.
AGCUCCGGGGCCUGGCCCUCUACUCCGGAAGUGGUUCCACUCAGUACCGCUCUUCCGGUCCGAGCCGUCUCGCUUUUCCCCAGGCGUGGGCGGAAGACGCCUGCAGACGAGUUUGGAAGGGCGUGCCGUGCGGGGGCGUGGCCACGCAGCAGCCGUCCUGUCGGCGCGGUUACCCUGCCGGCGGCGGCACCCCCUGGACCUCUCUUGGCCCGGCCGGGGACUCCGAGCCUCAGCAGCGAGGUUGGGAAGAUGAGAAAAGAAGUGAAGAGAAUCCAAGUUUUUAUCUGAAAACUUGUCAGGAGUGUGAGCAGACUAAAGUCAAAAAAGGGCACUGAAGAUGCACUGUUAAAAAGCCAGAGAUGAGCAGAAUGAUUGCUUGAAGAAAUCCCUGCCAUGAAGGAACCCAGAGCGGCACGAUGUGGGGAGCACAGGUCCUGAGCCACAGAGACAAGGACCUGGUCUCGGGAACCUCCGCUCGGCCCUCGGGUGAUCUGGUCCCUGAGAACGAGCGGCGCACCCACACCUUCUCCUCCCUCCCGCCUUCCUGCCCUUUCUCUCCCGUAAGUAGGAAUCCUCGCUCCUUUUUUCUUUAGAAGAUGGUUUCUAGCUCCCCAGUGCUCAGAGAAUAUCACUGACACAAACCUCCUGACAUCCUGGCCGCUUUGGGGGCACGUGUGGUUUCAAGGUGUUUCGUUUUCUGUUUGCGCUUCAUUGCUCAGCACCAGAGAGUGACCGAAAUCAGGUGCCUCCCUCCGUGGAACUCUGCUGCCACAGGUUCAAGUGAUAGCCAAGAAUCAACAAGCAACAAGCUCUCUCCUCACUCACUCACUCAACUCACUGGCCUGGCCGGUGCCUAAGUACACCAGUAGGACCAUUAUGAUGUAAGUGAGACAGGGUUCUGUAGCAUUCUGACACGUGCGUCAGAGCAGACCACUGAUGGAGGGCGGGGGGGGGGGCUUUACCCAACAAACUCUACCAUCAACUUGAAUUUUUAUCUUGCACUUCAUACUGAGACUUGAGAACCAAUGAUAUGGAUUAAACAAAAGACAAUUACUGUAUGUAUCUAGGGUAACCACAUUACUAAAUCUCCCCAAGGGUGAGGAUAAGGCAUUACCUGAGAGAAACAGGCCUAGACCCAUGCCUGCUGCAUAGAACAUGGUAACUGUCAUAUCUUAGCACCAUAUAACUUAUGUACACAUGUAAGUUAUAUGGGAGGUGCAUGUGUAUAGUGGGUUUGUGAACACCUUGUGAUUCCAUACAGCUCCAACAUUUAUUGAAUUUUUCCCUGUAUAGGGAACAGGCUCGUGUUUUAACCACGCAUUGUCUCUUUUGAAACUCUUCCCCGUCGCAUCCCCAAAGCCUUCAGGGAAAGAGGAAGCCCCUGGCUUUACAUCCAGGGCCCUCAUCAUGAAUCCUGUGCUUGUCAAGCAUGAAGGCUUCAUUCACCCACUUCUGUUCUAGGCCCUGGAAACCAAUGGGCUCUGCACAGGGUUUGAACUCUAGUUAGCUCCAUUCUGCUCCCAACUUCCCACUGACUGGCUCCUCCCCGAGGGUCAAUAUGUAUUUCCUUCAAACUUAGCAGUUGCUCUACAACCAGGCCAUGAUCCAGCCAGCUUCAGCCUUCUUUACCUCCAAUAGGUCCUCCCUCACGGUGUUCCCCCCACAUGGGCUCGGCCUCUUGCGGCCACUAAAUGGUAGGCACAUUUCCCAAGAUACUCUCAGCCUUGUUAGCUAUUGGAGAAACCCAAACCAAAAAUUAGAUACUAUUUUACACAUACCAAGUUGGUAAAAUUAGAUCAACCUAUACAUAUAAGGAUAUGGGUAAAAAAAAGAACCUUCAUGGUAUAAAAUGAAGUAUUGACCUAUGUAGCUGUGUUGGGGAACAAUUAGCCAACAUUUUAUGAAAUUAAAUAAGGAUAUAACCUAUGAGCCUACAAUCUCAUUCCCUAAUGGGAUCUUUACAAGGGUGAUAUUCGUAGCAUUAUUUAUACUAGCAGGGAAGGUGGCAUUUUAGUUUCUAGCUCAAGAAGAAUGGAUAAGCAACAUAUGGUUGGUAUAUACAACAGAAUACAUUUCCAAGAAUAGAAGCCAAGCCCGUUAAACUGUAUGCCUAUAGGGCAGGGCGUCAGGAAGGAAUUGGAGAUCAGAAACAAAAAGAAAAUAUAAAUGUAUGAAAUAACCCUAAGCUAGCAACUAAGGAGAAUUAUUAAAUUACUAGUCAAUAAACAUUAAAGAGGGAAAAAGAAAAUCUUUCCCAAAAGUAAAAGGGUUCAGAUCAGGUCUAGAACUAAGAGAAAGGAUUAUUCUAAAGCUACCCUAUAGUAUUAGCUUCCUAGGGUAAGUUACUUUACCUCCUAAAGUCUCACUUCUGUCAUCUGUAAUCCAGGAAAAAUAGUUCUUCUCUCAUACCCUAGUGGAGUCCUGCAUGGAUGCCAGUAGAAAGACACCAAAGCUUGAAUUUCCUGUUAAAUUCCUGAAAAAGUCACUUAGCUCUGCCAUAGAGCCAGCUCAAAAUAUGAGUAAAAAUGCCAUGGAAAAGAAACAGAAACAAAACACAAAUGCAAUGCUUCAUGCCAAAAGACAGUAAAUACUGGCAGUAAACAUCUGAGGGCGGAGAUGGGAAUGGGAAUUUUUACUACCUUUUCUUCCCAUUCCUGUACAAGGCCACCAUUGCCCCUCUAGCAUUUUUGGUCAUCCAAAGACCUUAUCCUGUAUAAAAUUCGAUGAUGUCCCUUUCUCCAAGUAGAUGCAGCCCCUCCAGGACACAUCUUUGGUACAGGAGCCCAGGCCAUGUUUCAGAGCUUACUAUUUACUUCUUGCAUCUUUGUUCUUAGUUUCACAGGAUCCCCUCAAAAUAAUGUUUUUCAAAGUAAAUAAGGUUAAAUCCUUUUCUUUCCUGCCUCCUUCAAUGUGGUUUUAUUACUUAUUUGUAAUACAGUAAGUAUGGUUCUUUUAUGCUUAGUAUUCCAUUUUGGGUUCUCCUCACACUUAGUUGAGGUUUUUUGUAACUUUAUGUACAGUAAAAUCCACUGUGCUUUUAGAGUUCUGUGAGUUCUGACAAAUGCUUGUUCAUGUAACCGUCACCAGUUAUGACACAGGCAAUUCUAUCACCCCCCAAAUUCCCUUACAAUGAUUUUUUUGUAGUCAAGCCAUCCUUGCUUCCUAGAAUUUGUCACUUUUGAAAAAUGUUUAAGUUAUACUUGAAUACCUCUCUUAUUAAUAGUUUUUAAUCUUUUAAUUUUUUGAAACCUAGUUAUGUUUUUACUUGUCAUUCUUAAUUUUAAACAUAGCCACUGAUGCUUUCCAAAGGCUAUCCAAUAUGUCAUCUGUGUUAUUGGUUUCCAAUUGUAGGAUUUAUUUUUAAAUUGUCCUGAUAUUUUGGUUCAUUAACUCUAUAUUUGUUCAUUUGUUUGUAUUUCUUUUAUUUGGUUUCAAGUACCAUUAUUUUUUUCAUCAUCUUAUGUUGAAUUUCAAAUAAUUUACUUUUAUCCCUAUGUCAUCACUGGAAAAAUUAGGUGUAUGAAUUUUUUUUAAAUGUGAUUUGUCUGAAUUACAGAUUUUUUAUGUGUGUUUUAAUUCUAAUUAUGCCCUAAUUAUUUCUUAUAUAUAGAUAAUCUAUGAUUAUUGUUUUCUUUUUACCCACACAUUAUUUCAGAGAGAUGUUUGUUUUUAAUAUAGAUUUCCUUAUCAUUUUAUUUUGUUUCAUUAUCUUAUCCUUAGUAAUGUUAACAUUAUAUGUUUUUGCAUGUGUGUGUGUGUGACAUAAUAUAUGGACAAAUGCUAUAAACAGUUCUUUUGUACUUGAAGCUAAGAUAUAUUUUCUGUCCCUAAACUAUUGGAAUAUAUAUUGUAGUCCCAAGAUAUAGUAUAUCUACCUACAUAAAAUCCCCAUAAAAUAUUGACAUUACUAUUCAAUUUUAAUUUUUGGAAUUGUUUUACCAUACCUCAUUGCCAUAUGGUUUCUAUUUCUCUUGUAUUUUCAUUAAUUUUUCCUACAUUACACAGUUGAUUGUUGUGAUUUAUUGUGCAAAUAUUCAUAAAAUCCAUAUUUAACUACAUUCAUCAGUAUGAAGUCAUUUAACAGUCUUAUUUAAAUUUCAAAAAACAAAAUAUUUUAUUAACAUAAAAUAGUUCCUGUAGAAUAGAAAAUUGGAAUGUGGCUACGAACAUAGCUAAGAAAAUUGGAUUAUAAGUAAGACAUUUCUGGCAAAAAUAAAAGACAGUAUUAAUAAAAACAAUGGUAAGAAUACAUAUAAAACAGGGAGCCACAGACUCUGCUUUUUAACUAGUAGAAGCAGGAAAUACAGAUAAUUAUCCCAUGGUAUUUACAAAAGCAUUUCGCAGCAUUACUGUCUAACUGAAAAGGGAAAAUUGAGGCAAUUACUAUUCUGAUUGUUGUAGGAUAUUCCAAUGGGCAUAUUCCACAUAGAGAGAACAUAGGCCUAAGGAGAGAGUAAUAACAAAAUAAAUAUAUAGGGAUUUCUAGGCCAUUUCAAAAUAAUUACUCUCUUAGUAAUUUAUGUCCAUAUAGCUAUUAUUUUCAACUCAGAAAUUCCAGCAGAACCACUGUCCCAACCAGUGGGAAUUUUCACUGAAAUAUUUGGAGUUUGUUUCUGUUGGACCUGGGUAUUCAGGCCCAUUACCUGUGUGGCUGUCUGAUACAUCAGGUUUCUCCACAUUGUGACUCAGUAAACUUCCCUCUUCAGAAUUCUUUGAUGUGUAUUGUUUUUUCAAGUCCUUCUCUGAAAUUUUUGUAUAUUGACAAAUGGCACUUUUUAGGAUUAAUUUUUAACAUUAACCUAAACUAAGGCAUCGGAGCUGUACCAUAUGUUAGAAUGUUCACAUUACAAUGAAUGUGGUAUUGGAAGCGUAUCUAACUUUUUAAAACUGAAGUUUCCAUGUUUAACAAUAGUUGUUCCUGAUUAUGACAAGCUGAACCAGUUAUAAAAAAUGCAAACUUGCACACAGUCUCAAUUAUGGCUCCUCAAACACCAGAGUACAAUAGCAAUAACUCUUUGUUCUUAUUUCUUCUGUCAGACACAGUAGUGUUUUUUGACCACUAACUGAAAACUGAAUUGGUCGAGAAUUACCGAACUAUUUGUAUUGUAUUAAAAUGAUUUCACUUUGUCAUUAGGAUAGAUUUGUCACUAACUUUAAAUGACAAUAUUUUUUAUAUUUCAUCAACAUAUACUCAACUCUAAAUAUGAUAACUGCCACGUACUAAAAAAUAAGUAAAUAU